This 253-nucleotide ribosomal RNA is filed under the name uncultured bacterium. Its description in RNAcentral is "partial 16S ribosomal RNA". It matches the Rfam family "Bacterial small subunit ribosomal RNA", at positions 524 to 776 of the family's 1533-position model. The record is from RNAcentral.
UACGGAGGGUGCAAGCGUUAAUCGGAAUUACUGGGCGUAAAGCGCGCGUAGGUGGUUGUUUAAGUCAGCUGUGAAAGCCCCGGGCUCAACCUGGGAAUUGCAGUUGAUACUGGCCAACUAGAGUGCAGGAGAGGGAGGUAGAAUUCCACGUGUAGCGGUGAAAUGCGUAGAUAUGUGGAGGAAUACCGGUGGCGAAGGCGGCCUCCUGGCCUGACACUGACACUGAGGUGCGAAAGCGUGGGGAGCAAACAGG